This 287-nucleotide small RNA is filed under the name Geitlerinema sp. PCC 7407. Its description in RNAcentral is "5' ureB small RNA". It matches the Rfam family "5' ureB small RNA". The record is from Rfam by way of RNAcentral. Lineage: Bacteria; Bacillati; Cyanobacteriota; Cyanophyceae; Geitlerinematales; Geitlerinemataceae.
CGGUUUCGAUCUGCUGAGGACAGAUGAAGUGAACGUGAGCGUCGAUGCCGCCCGCCGUCAGGAUCAUCCCCUCACCGGCGAUCGCCUCGGUACUCGGGCCGAUGAUGAUGUCGAUGGCGUCUUGAAUGUGGGGGUUGCCCGCUUUGCCGAUGGCGACAAUGCGACCGUCUUUGACCCCGAUGUCGGCUUUGACGAUGCCCCACCAGUCCAGGAUCAGCGCGUUGGUGAUCACCAGAUCCACCGCGCCUUCGUCCCGCGAGAGAGGCGACUGGCCCAUGCCUUCGCGG